RNAcentral lists this ribosomal RNA (500 nucleotides) under uncultured Glomeromycotina. RNAcentral describes it as "partial small subunit ribosomal RNA". It matches the Rfam family "Eukaryotic small subunit ribosomal RNA", at positions 591 to 1092 of the family's 1831-position model. The record is from RNAcentral. Lineage: Eukaryota; Fungi; Glomeromycota.
CCAAUAGCGUAUAUUAAAGUUGUUGCAGUUAAAAAGCUCGUAGUUGAAUUUUGGGUCUGGCCGGGCGGUCCGCCCUCUGGGUGAGCACUGUUCCGACGUCGGGCCUAUCCUUCUGGUGAGUCGGCAUGUCCUUUAUUGGGUGUGUCGGGGAACCAGGACCAUUACCUUGAAAAAAUUAGAGUGUUCAAAGCAGGCGUAUGCUCGGAUACAUUAGCAUGGAAUAAUGAAAUAGGACGCGUGGUGCUAUUUUGUUGGUUUCUAGAACCGCCGUAAUGAUUAAUAGGGAUAGUUGGGGGCAUUAGUAUUCAAUUGUCAGAGGUGAAAUUCUUGGAUUUAUUGAAGACUAACUUCUGCGAAAGCAUUUGCCAAGGAUGUUUUCAUUAAUCAAGAACGAAGGUUAGGGGAUCGAAGACGAUCAGAUACCGUCGUAGUCUUAACCAUAAACUAUGCCGACUAGGAAUCGGGCGAUGUUAUUCUCAUGACUCGCCCGGCGCCUUAUG